This 915-nucleotide ribosomal RNA is filed under the name uncultured bacterium. Its description in RNAcentral is "bacterial SSU rRNA". It matches the Rfam family "Bacterial small subunit ribosomal RNA", at positions 33 to 932 of the family's 1533-position model. The record is from RNAcentral.
ACGCUGGCGGCGUGCCUAAUACAUGCAAGUAGAACGCUGAAGGAGAAGCUUGCUUCUCUGGAUGAGUUGCGAACGGGUGAGUAACGCGUAGGUAACCUGCCUGGUAGCGGGGGAUAACUAUUGGAAACGAUAGCUAAUACCGCAUAAUAGUAGAUGUUGCAUGACAUUUGCUUAAAAGGUGCAAUUGCAUCACUACCAGAUGGACCUGCGUUGUAUUAGCUAGUUGGUGGGGUAACGGCUCACCAAGGCGACGAUACAUAGCCGACCUGAGAGGGUGAUCGGCCACACUGGGACUGAGACACGGCCCAGACUCCUACGGGAGGCAGCAGUAGGGAAUCUUCGGCAAUGGACGGAAGUCUGACCGAGCAACGCCGCGUGAGUGAAGAAGGUUUUCGGAUCGUAAAGCUCUGUUGUAAGAGAAGAACGAGUGUGAGAGUGGAAAGUUCACACUGUGACGGUAUCUUACCAGAAAGGGACGGCUAACUACGUGCCAGCAGCCGCGGUAAUACGUAGGUCCCGAGCGUUGUCCGGAUUUAUUGGGCGUAAAGCGAGCGCAGGCGGUUAGAUAAGUCUGAAGUUAAAGGCUGUGGCUUAGCCAUAGUACGCUUUGGAAACUGUUUAACUUGAGUGCAAGAGGGGAGAGUGGAAUUCCAUGUGUAGCGGUGAAAUGCGUAGAUAUAUGGAGGAACACCGGUGGCGAAAGCGGCUCUCUGGCUUGUAACUGACGCUGAGGCUCGAAAGCGCGGGGAGCAAACAGGAUUAGAUACCCUGGUAGUCCACGCCGUAAACGAUGAGUGCUAGGUGUUAGACCCUUUCCGGGGUUUAGUGCCGCAGCUAACGCAUUAAGCACUCCGCCUGGGGAGUACGACCGCAAGGUUGAAACUCAAAGGAAUUGACGGGGGCCCGCACAAGCGG